AGAAUCAACGCUGGCGGCGUGCCUAACACAUGCAAGUCGCACGAGAAAGGGACUUCGGUCCUGAGUAAAGUGGCGCACGGGUGAGUAACACGUGAAUCAUCUACCUCCGAAUGGGGAAUAACUGAGAGAAAUCUUAGCUAAUACCGCAUAAUACCUACGGGUCAAAGCAGCAAUGCGUUUGGAGAGGAGUUCGCGGUCGAUUAGUUAGUUGGCGGGGUAAUGGCCCACCAAGACGAUGAUCGAUAUCCGGCCUGAGAGGGCGCACGGACACACUGGAACUGAAACACGGUCCAGACUCCUACGGGAGGCAGCAGUGGGGAAUUUUGCGCAAUGGGGGAAACCCUGACGCAGCAACGCCGCGUGGAGGAUGAAAUAUCUUGGUAUGUAAACUCCUUUCGAUGGGAAGAUAAUGACGGUACCAUAGAAGACGCCCGGCUAACUUCGUGCCAGCAGCCGC
This 457-nucleotide ribosomal RNA is filed under the name uncultured bacterium. RNAcentral's name for it is "SSU rRNA". It matches the Rfam family "Bacterial small subunit ribosomal RNA", at positions 26 to 518 of the family's 1533-position model. The record is from RNAcentral.